This 72-nucleotide transfer RNA is filed under the name Caudoviricetes sp. RNAcentral's name for it is "tRNA-Thr". It matches the Rfam family "tRNA". From Rfam's summary of the family: Transfer RNA (tRNA) molecules are approximately 80 nucleotides in length. Their secondary structure includes four short double-helical elements and three loops (D, anti-codon, and T loops). Lineage: Duplodnaviria; Heunggongvirae; Uroviricota; Caudoviricetes. The record is from RNAcentral.
UCCCUGUUAGUAUAGUGGUUAUUACACUUGUCUUGUAAACAAGAAACGUCAGUUCGAUUCUGACACGGGGAU